CCACUUCAGACGCCAGUCCCUAGUCCAGGUGCUUUGGACCAAUUGGCUGCAGAUGGAAGUUCCCACGACCCUCUGCUCAGGUACAACUAAUUUGCUAGAGCGGCUCACAGGUCUCCAAGAAGCAUCUUACUCACCAGAUUACCAGUUUAUCACCAAGGGAUUUAACUCAGGAACAGCCAGAUGGGAGAGAGGCCUGGGGCAUGGCAUCAAGGCUCUGAGAAAACCUCUCGAGUUGUGCUGGCUGGGUAUUGUGGCCACAAUGAACAUCUCUAACAGAGAGCAUGGACAGAUGGUCUUUAGCAGCUCACUUUGCAGAAGAAAAGCUGUCUACUCUCAGGGAGCCUGUCCAAGUAAUAAAGAAAGUAUGGGAAAAAUGC
Molecule: long non-coding RNA, 377 nt
Organism: Bubalus bubalis (water buffalo)
Lineage: Eukaryota; Metazoa; Chordata; Mammalia; Artiodactyla; Bovidae
Exons: 2
Source: RefSeq, a predicted model, not a curated record